CGAGUGUGGAGUUCUUCAGCUCCUUGGGUGUUAAGCAGCGGUGGUAACAGCAGCAGAUGGAGCCUGGUGGCUGAGGAAGUGAUUGGCAUUCGAGAUUACCAGGCAGAAGUACAAGUACAUGAAGAUCUACAAACUGCAUGACUGCUGAAGGACACAUGAUUGCAAUGGCCAGAAUCCAGAUGACUGUUAUAAUGAUGAUAGCGGUUGAGGUGGUCAACUUCUGCUUAAAUGGAUAAACGAUGCAUCGAAACCUGCAGCAAAGGCAUCCAGGAAUGUAUGUGGAGAAGCCAUUUAGAGAAUGCUUAGAGAGGUGGCAUAAGGGAGAUGAAAGUGACAGUUCAUCUCCACAUCAUCUUACCUGUCUACAGCAAUUGCAACCAGAGUGAAGAUGGAAGCAGAGACAGAGAUUCCUUGGACCAUCCCACUCAUCUUGCAAACCAUGCUCCCAAAUGGCCAUCCUGGAAGGAAACAGAACAAUAUAGCAGACUACUCCGUUGCCAACCAUACAGAGCAGGAAGAUGAGGAGGUAAGAGACAAUGAAGACAGCUGCCACUGAAGGCUGAUGAUGGUAGAAGUCCACGUAAGAGACAUUGCCUUCUAAGUAGAGGUGGAGCUUUUAAGACAGGCGUUCCAGACUAGGGAAGAUUGCAUUUACUUUGCACUCUGUUGUUCAUGAUCCAUGCUGUCGCAAUGAAACCCUGCAGAUAAGACAGGUGCACUGUGUCCAUAAAGAUGAGAUGGCAUAUAGCACUAGUGACAAGAAAACACCAGCAGUUUUAGUGGCAAGCUCCUGAAGCAGAUUGUGAUAUUGCUGUUGCAUGGCAUGUGGCUGUAGGAAUAUUCACAUGGUAUCCAGUGAAGAUAAUUAUCCUCUCUUCUCUACGUACUAGAGCAAGUAUUCCCAAAAGGUAUCCUGCCCAGGAAGAGCAUGAACCCAGAAACUCGAGAGUUUCAGCAUUUAACUUCAUUGCCUUGCUGUGACACUGCAUUGGAUAGACUCGAAAACUGGAUUUUGGCUAUGG
Long non-coding RNA from Lagopus muta (rock ptarmigan), 1022 nucleotides. RefSeq lists it as uncharacterized. The record is from RefSeq and is a predicted model, not a curated record. Lineage: Eukaryota; Metazoa; Chordata; Aves; Galliformes; Phasianidae. The transcript is spliced from 9 exons.